Molecule: ribosomal RNA, 347 nt
Filed under: uncultured bacterium
Lineage: Bacteria
Description: bacterial SSU rRNA
Rfam family: Bacterial small subunit ribosomal RNA
Source: RNAcentral
CGAGUGCGUUCAGAGUUUGAUCCUGGCUCAGGACGAACGCUGGCGGCGUGCCUAAUACAUGCAAGUAGAACGCUGAAGACUUUAGCUUGCUAAAGUUGGAAGAGUUGCGAACGGGUGAGUAACGCGUAGGUAACCUGCCUACUAGCGGGGGAUAACUAUUGGAAACGAUAGCUAAUACCGCAUAACAGCAUUUAACACAUGUUAGAUGCUUGAAAGGAGCAAUUGCUUCACUAGUAGAUGGACCUGCGUUGUAUUAGCUAGUUGGUGAGGUAACGGCUCACCAAGGCGACGAUACAUAGCCGACCUGAGAGGGUGAUCGGCCACACUGGGACUGAGACACGGCCCAG